This 490-nucleotide ribosomal RNA is filed under the name uncultured bacterium. RNAcentral's name for it is "partial 16S ribosomal RNA". It matches the Rfam family "Bacterial small subunit ribosomal RNA", at positions 28 to 507 of the family's 1533-position model. The record is from RNAcentral.
GAUGAACGCUAGCUACAGGCUUAACACAUGCAAGUCGCGGGGCAGCAUGGGGGUUGCUUGCAAUCCCCGAUGGCGACCGGCGCACGGGUGAGUAACGCGUAUCCAACCUGCCCUUCACCACGGGAUAACCCGGCGAAAGUCGGACUAAUACCGUAUGUUGUCCAUUGACGGCAUCCGAUUUGGACGAAAGGGUUGGCGGUGAAGGAUGGGGAUGCGUCCGAUUAGCUGGACGGCGGGGUGACGGCCCACCGUGGCGACGAUCAGUAGGGGCUCUGCAAGGAAGGUCCCCCACACUGGAGCUGGGACACGGUCCAGACUCCUACGAGAGGCAGCAGUGAGGAAUAUUAGUCAAUGGGCGUAAGCCUGAACCAGCCAAGUAGCGUGCAGGAUGACGGCCCUGUGGGUUGUAAACUGCUUUUAUGCGGGGAUAAAGUGGCCCACGUGUGGGUUUUUGCAGGUACCGCAUGAAUAAGGACCGGCUAAUUCCGUG